Molecule: long non-coding RNA, 939 nt
Organism: Gadus macrocephalus (Pacific cod)
Lineage: Eukaryota; Metazoa; Chordata; Actinopteri; Gadiformes; Gadidae
Exons: 3
Source: RefSeq, a predicted model, not a curated record
AGAUCAUUUUCAUGGUUCUUUCUUACAAACAGUAGCGUGCUUAAGACUUGGCCCACCUAGCUUGCUGCAAUGUUGUGGCUGUACAGACCUAUGUAUUUUUCUUCCUCUUCAUUAAGGCACAAGCCGUAAAUUAAGGAAAUUUGUUGAGUGCAUUAAAAGGACAAACAUCUAAUGUAAUGGUGGCCCAAGAGUUUUGCACGGAACUGUACAUGGCUUUUCUGCGGUUGCAGGCUCCUUGCCAGUUUCCAAUGGCCUUAUAUCAAGGUCCUACCUACUAAGUUCAGUAACUCAAUUCUUAUGGUGUUCACAGAUCACCCUGGAGGCUGUUGGACAACUGGGUCUCUCAGAGCUGUAGCUUUGCUGCGGGCAAAGGCUUCUGUAGCCAUAUAACCGCUCUGCUGUUCCAGACAGCGCAUUAUGUGCAGCUGGGCCUUGAUGUGGUUCCACCUUCCCUGGCCUGUACCAGUCAACCACAGAUGUGGCAUCGACCUCGAACCCACGCGUGCUGUUGUGUCCUCUGUUCAAAUCAUACACUUCAGUAUUUGUCUAGAGUAUAUGAGCAUUUCCUGUAUUGUUGUUCGCCUCAGGGAAUCCAUCCAGAGGCUGUGAGUGACCGGGUGGUGAAGAAACCCAAGUCGGUGGGGAAGACUGGAGUCAAGUCCACACUCUACAGAGCGUAUGCUGAGGGAAUAUCCAGCUUGGAGUUGGUACCAUCUCAGCUGUGCUGACCUGGAAGAUGUCAGCAAUGACUUGUUCUUUAAGGCCAGUUGCUACUCUACAACAGUAGAUGAAAAACUCAUCAAUGGCUGGAAUCUUCCUUGAAGGGCUUGGUGUUGGAAUCGCCUCUUGUCCAAUCCUCUGUGCUUUGCUCCAAUAAAGAAUAUAUUGUGUUGAGGGGCAAAACAGACUCCCAAAACACUUGAAACACUUCUUGAGAUG